GAUGAACGCUGGCGGCGUGCCUAAUACAUGCGAGUCGAGCGAACAGACGAGGAGCUUGCUCCUUUGACGUUAGCGGCGGACGGGUGAGUAACACGUGGGUAACCUACCUAUAAGACUGGGAUAACUUCGGGAAACCGGAGCUAAUACCGGAUAAUAUUUUGAACCGCAUGGUUCGAUAGUGAAAGACGGCUUUGCUAUCACUUAUAGAUGGAUCCGCGCCGUAUUAGCUAGUUGGUAAGGUAACGGCUUACCAAGGCAACGAUGCGUAGCCGACCUGAGAGGGUGAUCGGCCACACUGGAACUGAGACACGGUCCAGACUCCUACGGGAGGCAGCAGUAGGGAAUCUUCCGCAAUGGGCGAAAGCCUGACGGAGCAACGCCGCGUGAGUGAUGAAGGUCUUCGGAUCGUAAAACUCUGUUAUUAGGGAAGAACAAACGUGUAAGUAACUGUGCACGUCUUGACGGUACCUAAUCAGAAAGCCACGGCUAACUACGUG
RNAcentral lists this ribosomal RNA (497 nucleotides) under uncultured bacterium. Its description in RNAcentral is "partial 16S ribosomal RNA". It matches the Rfam family "Bacterial small subunit ribosomal RNA", at positions 28 to 507 of the family's 1533-position model. The record is from RNAcentral.